This 552-nucleotide ribosomal RNA is filed under the name uncultured fungus. Its description in RNAcentral is "eukaryotic LSU rRNA". The stretch from base 187 to 340 matches the Rfam family "5.8S ribosomal RNA". Lineage: Eukaryota; Fungi. The record is from RNAcentral.
AAGUCGUAACAAGGUCUCCGUUGGUGAACCAGCGGAGGGAUCAUUACUGAGUACUACACUCUCCUACCCUUUGUGAACUAUUAUACCUGUUGCUUCGGCGGCGCCGCAAGGGUGCCCGCCGGUCUCAUCAGAAUCUCUGUUUUUCGAACCCGACGAUACUUCUGAGUGUUCUUAGCGAACUGUCAAAACUUUUAACAACGGAUCUCUUGGCUCCAGCAUCGAUGAAGAACGCAGCGAAACGCGAUAUGUAAUGUGAAUUGCAGAAUUCAGUGAAUCAUCGAAUCUUUGAACGCACAUGGCGCCUUCCAGUAUCCUGGGAGGCAUGCCUGUCCGAGCGUCGUUUCAACCCUCGAGCCCCUGUGGCCCGGCGUUGGGGAUCUGCCACGGCAGGCCCCUAAAACCAGUGGCGGACCCGAAGGGCCCUCUCCUUUGCGCAGUAGCAUUCGCCUCGCAUCGGGAGUCCUCGGCGUCCUGCCUCUAAACCCCCCACAAGCCCGCUUCGGCGGCACCAAGGUUGACCUCGGAUCAGGUAGGAAUACCCGCUGAACUUAA